RNAcentral lists this ribosomal RNA (378 nucleotides) under Araneus tijuca. RNAcentral describes it as "eukaryotic LSU rRNA". The stretch from base 1 to 84 matches the Rfam family "5.8S ribosomal RNA", at positions 71 to 154 of the family's 154-position model. Lineage: Eukaryota; Metazoa; Arthropoda; Arachnida; Araneae; Araneidae. The record is from RNAcentral.
AUUGCAGGACACAUUGAGCACUGAUUUUUCGAACGCACAUUGCGGCCUCGGGUCCUGCCCGGGGCCUCGCCUGUCUGAGGGUCGGAUAAGACUUGCAAAGGAAAAUACUUUUCCAAUUGGCCGCGUCGGAGUCCAAAAAUUUUGGGCUUCGUCGGCUCAAGUAUCAGAUAGGAUCCUCCCCGGUCGAGAGAGCACAAGCCCUAGAGCAUGCUCGUCGCUCGGAGAAGACGGACCACGUUUCUCCAAUAUGACGAGACGGUUUGUUGCCGAGGUGACCGAUAUNGNGAUGCGAGCCUACNCGAGAUGAGAAUUUCUCGAUUGAAAAAUUACUUUGACGACCUCAGAUCAGACGAGAUGACCCGCUGAAUUUAAGCAUAU